This is a long non-coding RNA of Oncorhynchus masou masou (cherry salmon), 355 nucleotides long. RefSeq lists it as uncharacterized. The record is from RefSeq and is a predicted model, not a curated record. Lineage: Eukaryota; Metazoa; Chordata; Actinopteri; Salmoniformes; Salmonidae. The transcript has 4 exons.
CCUGCCUACUGGCUCCCCUGUCUAUGCCUGAUUCGGAAUUACCCCUCUGAGCUAAAACACAACAUCUCAUCCUAGACCUAGAAUAGAAAUGAUUACAUUCCAAGAGACUGGCGUCUGACAUGGAUGAUUGUUAAACCAUGGAGAUGCUGCCUUUGUCACCACCGAGAACAAGUCGGCACAAGUCGUCACCGGUAACCUAUCAGAAGUCAGGAAGAGCCCUGCAUGCCUCGAAAUGAUGCCCCAGGAAGACCCCAAGAAGACCUCCCCUCCCCAGCUACCUCUGCCACCGCUGCUGAAAUAAAUCCUAGUGUGUAACGGUCGUCAUCGGUGGAAGAAGAAGAGGACCAAGGUGCAG